This is a long non-coding RNA of Cucumis sativus (cucumber), 2134 nucleotides long. RefSeq lists it as uncharacterized. The transcript has 2 exons. The record is from RefSeq and is a predicted model, not a curated record. Lineage: Eukaryota; Viridiplantae; Streptophyta; Magnoliopsida; Cucurbitales; Cucurbitaceae.
UGUUAUGUCAUAUGUGGAAUACUGCUUCCUCUUCUUCUCUCAAUUCCAUGCUCCUCUCUCCAUCCUCGUUUCCACAUUACAACAGGAAGUUAGGUUGUUGAUUUGUUAAGAAUGAGAGGUAAAAGAAGGAGAAAAUAAAGAGCAAAUAAAAAAUGCAUAAUUAUACUUUUUCCAAUUAAUUGUUUGUGUAUAGGAGGUCAAAUUAGAAAUAGGUGAAAACCAAAGGUUUAGACAUUAGUUCUUUUUAAUAACCUAAUAAUGCCUAUGUCCAACAUAUUAAGAUAUGUGUUCAAUUUGGUCGUAUUUCAAAGUUCUGUUAUCCCAUUAUUUUAAAAAUCAAUGUUAAGACUUUCUUUUUUCUUCUUAUCUCUUAUGUACGUAUAUUAAAUUACCUAACUCAAUAUUGACUUUGAUUAUAUUCUUUUCACAUCAUCAUCAUACACCACCAAUAAUCGCCCUUCAUAAAUCACCCUUCAUAUGUUUGGACUAUUUCUUUCCGAGUAGGUAUGCUAACUAUUGUAAUUUCUUAGACUUAUUUGCCUACAUUUUGUUCAUUUCUCAAACAAAUUAAAAUUAUAUAUAUAUACUUACUUUGGGGAUUGUGUGGUUGCACAUUCACUUUUUCUUCCUCCUUACUAUGUUUCAAAAUCUAAAAACUUUAUUCUUACUAAGAAUGCGCUCAAUUUUAAUUCUUAAAAACAUAACACCUUAGUGAGUUCGAAUUAAAUAGAGGACUGGAAAUGAUGAUGAUCAAACUAAUUUAAAAUAAUGUGACUAUUUUAGGUAUGUGAUAGGACAAAAAGUUCUAUUUUAUAAAAGAUAAAUGAAAAUAGGAAGAAGCCAGAAUAGUAGAGAAGCUAAUGUGAGAGUUAAUCACACAAUCGAAUGAAAGUAAAGAAUAAGUUCAAAAGAAUAAAUUGUUAAAAAUAAAAACGGUUUAUUCAUCAUCUAAGUAUUAUUUUUUUAUGUCAUCAAUGAUUUUGUUAUGAAUAAAAUGGAGCAAACUAAUAGGAACAAAGUGUUAGAUUUUGAGCUAGGAACCAAAAUGAUAUUUUUCUCUUAGUUUUUUUAAUAAUGUCACAUAAUCUUUGCUAUAGGUUAUAGAUUAAAAAUAGUUUUAGUCCCUAAUUUUUCAUAAUAUGUAAUACAUAUAUAUAUUGCUAUCGAAUUUUAAACAAACAUAAAAUAUCACCUCCUACGAUUUCUCUCAUCAAAACAUAAAAUAUUAUUAUUCAACUUACAAUAUUAAAAAAUCAAUAUGACAUGGAUUUUUCUAACACAUCAUAGAUGAAUGGUGACUGAUUAAUCAAUAAAUCACUACAAGAAAAACCCUCUACUAUGACAUUUAUUUAUAUCACAAAAUAGAGGGAGGAAAAAAAAAUGUCACGAAAAGGAAAAAAACGCGUUUUUGGCGAAAAAAGACGGAAAUUUUCGAAAAAUAUUUUUCACGACAGUUAUUUGAUGUCAUAAAAUAGAAAUAAAAUAAUAUAUUUAAUAUAUGAAAAAUAAUAACUGUUUUAGGGAUUUUUAACCUAUUCCCUUCUCCCAUUUCUUUCGUCUUUCUCUCAUUUUGCCUCUCCUUUCAGCUUUCUCCCCUUUCGCCUCCCCUUUCACCUUUCUCCCCUUUCGCCUCCCAAUCUCCGAACUCCUUGAACUCUCUUCUCCAGAUGACAACGAGGUCCAUCAUCGGCACUGCCCCCUCGUGGCCAUCUCCCCACUCCAACGCCGCCUGUACCUCUUCUACUACACAACGAACGGGCUACGACCACUCUUUGGAGUCUACCAUUGAAGCCUCCAAAUCUCGCCUUUCUCAGAUUCGUUCCACCUCUUAUCCUCAUUUCCAAAAGGCAAUUGUAAUUUCUUCAUCCCUUAUUAUUACUAUUGUUUUUUUUUACCUCUCCUGUUGUUCUUUGUUUAGUUUCCAAUUAAGGAUGAAUGUUAGUUUAGGUCUCUAAGAGAAAGGGUUGAAAGGUUUUGAGUCGUUACUCUCUGUACUUUUAUUUGAGUAAGUCAUCCUAAAAAAGAUACUUUUAUAGCAUUUGAAUAAAGCUUUAGGCUAUUUGCUAGAUUGCAAAGUGGUUUCUGGAUACAAAAUCCCAUGGUCGAAAUUUAAGAAGAAUCGAGUUCUUGCUCC